Molecule: ribosomal RNA, 253 nt
Filed under: uncultured bacterium
Lineage: Bacteria
Description: partial 16S ribosomal RNA
Rfam family: Bacterial small subunit ribosomal RNA
Source: RNAcentral
UACAGAGGGUGCGAGCGUUAAUCGGAAUUACUGGGCGUAAAGCGCACGUAGGCGGCUUGGUAUGUCGGGUGUGAAAUCCCCGGGCUCAACCUGGGAACUGCAUCCGAAACUGCCUUGCUAGAGUAUGGGAGAGGGAAGUGGAAUUUCCGGUGUAGCGGUGAAAUGCGCAGAUAUUCGCAAGAACACCAGUGGCGAAGGCGGCUCACUGGCCCGGUACUGACGCUGAGGUGCGAAAGCGUGGGGAGCAAACAGG